GGUAACCUGCCUGUAAGACUGGGAUAACUCCGGGAAACCGGGGCUAAUACCGGAUGGUUGUUUGAACCGCAUGGUUCAGACAUAAAAGGUGGCUUCGGCUACCACUUACAGAUGGACCCGCGGCGCAUUAGCUAGUUGGUGAGGUAACGGCUCACCAAGGCGACGAUGCGUAGCCGACCUGAGAGGGUGAUCGGCCACACUGGGACUGAGACACGGCCCAGACUCCUACGGGAGGCAGCAGUAGGGAAUCUUCCGCAAUGGACGAAAGUCUGACGGAGCAACGCCGCGUGAGUGAUGAAGGUUUUCGGAUCGUAAAGCUCUGUUGUUAGGGAAGAACAAGUGCCGUUCAAAUAGGGCGGCACCUUGACGGUACCUAACCAGAAAGCCACGGCUAACUACGUGCCAGCAGCCGCGGUAAUACGUAGGUGGCAAGCGUUGUCCGGAAUUAUUGGGCGUAAAGGGCUCGCAGGCGGUUUCUUAAGUCUGAUGUGAAAGCCCCCGGCUCAACCGGGGAGGGUCAUUGGAAACUGGGGAACUUGAGUGCAGAAGAGGAGAGUGGAAUUCCACGUGUAGCGGUGAAAUGCGUAGAGAUGUGGAGGGAACACCAGUGGCGAAGGCGACUCUCUGGUCUGUAACUG
This 638-nucleotide ribosomal RNA is filed under the name Bacillus sp. (in: firmicutes). RNAcentral's name for it is "bacterial SSU rRNA". It matches the Rfam family "Bacterial small subunit ribosomal RNA", at positions 120 to 742 of the family's 1533-position model. Lineage: Bacteria; Bacillati; Bacillota; Bacilli; Caryophanales; Bacillaceae. The record is from RNAcentral.